Molecule: long non-coding RNA, 761 nt
Organism: Pelmatolapia mariae (spotted tilapia)
Lineage: Eukaryota; Metazoa; Chordata; Actinopteri; Cichliformes; Cichlidae
Exons: 4
Source: RefSeq, a predicted model, not a curated record
CUGUGGGUUUUUGUGUUUAUUCGAGUGAAUGUUUUUCUGUGUGUGUGUGUGUGUGUGUGUGUGUGUGUGAAAGCAAGAGAGAGCAAGAGGAAUGGCUUCCACAUCUGUGGGGCUGCAUAUUGCUUUUAAAAGAAAGCUUCAUUUAGCUUGACAGGGAAAACGUGUGUGUGUGUGUGUUUGUGUGUCUGUGUGUGCAUGUGCGUGUGUGUGUGAGGGGAAAAUAUGUAGAAACGGCCCAACCACAGACUUCCUUUUGAGAGAGAACCAUGUCAACCCCCACAUCCAUUUACUAAGACACACACGUGAAGACGGGAGAACUCACACACUGCAGUGAAUAUGAAAAACAAGCAGAGUGAAAUCCAGUGGAAAUGCGAAGCACAUUCAGUGAAGCGUUGCCUUACUCUUGGUCUCAGAGACUAUGUAUGUACUGCUUUAACUGCUUAGAUUGAUGACGGACACGAAGAGGUCACUCAGUGAUUGGAUGGCUGGUGAAAUAUCCUGACUGACAUGUUGUGACCUUCACAGAAAAAACAGAGCCGAGCAAAGACGUAUCACAUGCUAACACGUCCACCGAGCCGCCGGUUAUUCAACUGAAGAGAAGCUGCAGGACAUCAGAGGAGGUCCAAAGCCAGAAACCCUGGAGAUGAAGGUUAUGUCCCGUGUCAUGUGACCUGAAGAAAGUCUGCUUUACUCAGCUACUGUAGCAGGAAUCAAAUCAUUUGUCUUGUGUUUUUUGUAUCUCGCUAUUCUCAUUACAUUAU